UACGGAGGGUGCAAACGUUGCUCGGAAUCAUUGGGCGUAAAGCGCGCGUAGGCGGCCUCGCAAGUCGGGUGUGAAAGCCCUCGGCUUAACCGAGGAAGUGCAUUCGAAACUACGGGGCUUGAGUACCGGAGAGGGUCGCGGAAUUCCCGGUGUAGAGGUGAAAUUCGUAGAUAUCGGGAGGAACACCAGUGGCGAAGGCGGCGACCUGGACGGAUACUGACGCUGAUGCGCGAAAGCGUGGGGAGCAAACAGG
This 253-nucleotide ribosomal RNA is filed under the name uncultured Anaeromyxobacter sp. Its description in RNAcentral is "partial 16S ribosomal RNA". It matches the Rfam family "Bacterial small subunit ribosomal RNA", at positions 524 to 776 of the family's 1533-position model. The record is from RNAcentral. Lineage: Bacteria; Pseudomonadati; Myxococcota; Myxococcia; Myxococcales; Anaeromyxobacteraceae.